GCCCUUGUAGUUAAAUGGAUAUAACGGGGUCCUCCUAAGACUCAAUUACAGGUCCGAUUCCUGUCAAGGGCACCA
RNAcentral lists this transfer RNA (75 nucleotides) under Oscillospiraceae bacterium. RNAcentral describes it as "tRNA-Arg". It matches the Rfam family "tRNA". From Rfam's summary of the family: Transfer RNA (tRNA) molecules are approximately 80 nucleotides in length. Their secondary structure includes four short double-helical elements and three loops (D, anti-codon, and T loops). Further hydrogen bonds mediate the characteristic L-shaped molecular structure. tRNAs have two regions of fundamental functional importance: the anti-codon, which is responsible for specific mRNA codon recognition, and the 3' end, to which the tRNAs corresponding amino acid is attached (by aminoacyl-tRNA synthetases). tRNAs cope with the degeneracy of the genetic code in two manners: having more than one tRNA (with a specific anti-codon) for a particular amino acid; and 'wobble' base-pairing, i.e. permitting non-standard base-pairing at the 3rd anti-codon position. The record is from RNAcentral. Lineage: Bacteria; Bacillati; Bacillota; Clostridia; Eubacteriales; Oscillospiraceae.